UUAGCUUUGUUUAGAGGCAUGUUUCUGGCCAAGUGACAAAGUGUAAUAUUCACUCUCCUAAGCUACAUUUUGGAGAAGAAAUUUGAUGUCUGACUUUCUUCACCAGCUAACAGUAGAUAGUAGUAUGUAAAGCUUAAACAUGCAAAAACACUCAGUAAAGCUUCAGCAUUGGGUAAAUAAAUGGAGGACAAAGAGGAACGAGACCCUGGGGCACUCGUAGGGAUUUGAGAAUGGGGACAUACCUCAAGGUUCUGUUCUCUUCAGCAUCCAGAAUAUAUUCAACUGGUUCAACAAUAUUAAAGGACAAAACUCAAAGGACCACCCUUCUCUAUGGCUUUAUUUAUAGGAUUCCCUGUGAACAGAGAAGUGCUUAUUUCCUCUACGAUAGCUCUGUCAGCCUGGAGAUUGUGCUUCUGAAAAAUAUCAACUAGAAUACCAUCAGUGUGGGAUCUUGAGACAGAACUAGUUAAAUGGUGAAGCUCUAGCAAAAAAUCAUUGAUUGAAGUGCUUGGUGUGUGAAUAAAAUGUUCUAACUUCAACAAAGCCGUGUUCAUUUACAUGUGGUAGGUCCUUUGUGAUAUCGAUACUGCAAUCUGGCUGUGCAUCUGGUUGUGCAUCAGAGUAUGCCUCACAGAUUCCCAGGGAAUUUGCGGGGAAUUCUCAGUUCGCAGAUUCCAGAGAAGCAAAGGUUAUUGAUGGCACAUUUUCUGGUUUAAAAUCUGUUAAUGAGUAAGAUAUGUGCGUUCUGCUCUUGUGGGAUUGGAAUGUUCCAUAGAUAUUCAUUUGAAAGUUGCAAUCUAAAAGCAUGCAAGUUACAACCACAUUUUUCUUCAGGUGUGCAUUAAUGUGGGCCCAGUAAUCCAUUUCAGAGACAAGAUCCUUACAAGGACAUAAAUGGCACCUAAAUAUACAGCUCUCUGAUAGAUAACGACUGGUUUUAGUCACAUGAAAUCUAUUCAAAUGAAUUAAAAGCGCAUUCCACGUUCUAAAAGUACAUGGGUAGC
Thunnus maccoyii (southern bluefin tuna) is the source of this 1004-nucleotide long non-coding RNA. RefSeq lists it as uncharacterized. The record is from RefSeq and is a predicted model, not a curated record. NCBI's taxonomy places the organism in Eukaryota, Metazoa, Chordata, Actinopteri, Scombriformes, Scombridae. The transcript is spliced from 3 exons.